GACGAACGCUGGCGGCGUGCCUAAUACAUGCAAGUCGAACGCAGUGGGGACGGGUGAGUAACACGUGGGUAACCUCCCAUCAGAGGGGAUAACACUUGGAAACAGGUGCUAAACCGAUACUGAUGGAUGAACCCGCGGUGCAUUAGCUAGUUGGUGGGGUAACGGCUCACCAAGGCCACGAAGCAAAGCCGACCUGGGAGGUUGAUCGUCCACACUGAAACUGAGACACGGCCAGGACCCCUACGGAAGGCAGCAGUGGGGAAUGUGCCGAAAUGGGCUAAAGUCUAGCCGGACAACGCCCCGGCAGCGAAAAGGGUAUUCGGAACGGAAAGCACUGUUGUUAGAGAAGCGGUAUCGAACCAGAAGGCCACGGCUGACUACGUUGCAGCAGCCGCGGUAAUUC
RNAcentral lists this ribosomal RNA (403 nucleotides) under uncultured bacterium. RNAcentral describes it as "partial 16S ribosomal RNA". It matches the Rfam family "Bacterial small subunit ribosomal RNA", at positions 28 to 526 of the family's 1533-position model. The record is from RNAcentral.